Molecule: ribosomal RNA, 493 nt
Filed under: uncultured bacterium
Lineage: Bacteria
Description: partial 16S ribosomal RNA
Rfam family: Bacterial small subunit ribosomal RNA
Source: RNAcentral
AUUGAACGCUGGCGGCAUGCUUUACACAUGCAAGUCGAACGGUAACAGGUUAAGCUGACGAGUGGCGAACGGGUGAGUAAUGCAUCGGAACGUGCCCGAUCGUGGGGGAUAACGCAGCGAAAGCUGCGCUAAUACCGCAUACGAUCUGAGGAUGAAAGCGGGGGACCGUAAGGCCUCGCGCGAUCGGAGCGGCCGAUGUCAGAUUCGGUAGUUGGUGGGGUAAAGGCCGACCAAGCCAACGAUCUGUAGCUGGUCUGUGAGGACGACCAGCCACACUGGGACAGAGACACGGCCCAGACUCCAACGGGAGUCAGAAGUGGGGAAUUUUGGACAAUGGGCGAAAGCCUGAUCCAGCAAUGCCGCGUGCAGGAAGAAGGCCUUCGGGUUGUAAACUGCUUUUGUACGGAGCGAAAAGGCUCUCUCUAAUACAGGGGGCUCAUGACGGUACCGUAAGAAUAAGCACCGGCUAACUACGUGCCAGCAGCCGCCGUAA